GCGGAGGGAUCAUUACCGAGUUUACAACUCCCAAACCCCUGUGAACAUACCACUUGUUGCCUCGGCGGAUCAGCCCGCUCCCGGUAAAACGGGACGGCCCGCCAGAGGACCCCUAAACUCUGUUUCUAUAUGUAACUUCUGAGUAAAACCAUAAAUAAAUCAAAACUUUCAACAACGGAUCUCUUGGUUCUGGCAUCGAUGAAGAACGCAGCAAAAUGCGAUAAGUAAUGUGAAUUGCAGAAUUCAGUGAAUCAUCGAAUCUUUGAACGCACAUUGCGCCCGCCAGUAUUCUGGCGGGCAUGCCUGUUCGAGCGUCAUUUCAACCCUCAAGCCCUCGGGUUUGGUGUUGGGGAUCGGCGAGCCCUUGCGGCAAGCCGGCCCCGAAAUCUAGUGGCGGUCUCGCUGCAGCCUCCAUUGCGUAGUAGUAAAACCCUCGCAACUGGAACGCGGCGCGGCCAAGCCGUUAAACCCCCAACUUCUGAAUGUUGACCUCGGAUCAGGUAGGAAUACCCGCUGAACUUAAGCAUAUCAAUAAGCCGGAGG
This 543-nucleotide ribosomal RNA is filed under the name Fusarium oxysporum. Its description in RNAcentral is "eukaryotic LSU rRNA". The stretch from base 164 to 317 matches the Rfam family "5.8S ribosomal RNA". Lineage: Eukaryota; Fungi; Ascomycota; Sordariomycetes; Hypocreales; Nectriaceae. The record is from RNAcentral.